This 447-nucleotide ribosomal RNA is filed under the name uncultured bacterium. Its description in RNAcentral is "partial 16S ribosomal RNA". It matches the Rfam family "Bacterial small subunit ribosomal RNA", at positions 328 to 792 of the family's 1533-position model. The record is from RNAcentral.
GAGCCAGACUCCUACGGGAGGCAGCAGUGGGGAAUAUUGCACAAUGGGGGAAACCCUGAUGCAGCGACGCCGCGUGAGCGAUGAAGUAUUUCGGUCUGUAAAGCUCUAUCAGCAGGGAAGAAAAUGACGGUACCUGACUAAGAAGCCCCGGCUAACUACGUGCCAGCAGCCGCGGUAAUACGUAGGGGGCAAGCGUUAUCCGGAUUUACUGGGCGUAAAGGGAGCGUAGACGGCGGUGCAAGCCAGAUGUGAAAGCCCGGGGCUCAACCCCGGGACUGCAUUUGGAACUGUGCUGCUAGAGUGUCGGAGAGGCAGGCGGAAUUCCUAGUGUAGCGGUGAAAUGCGUAGAUAUUAGGAGGAACACCAGUGGCGAAGGCGGCCUGCUGGACGAUGACUGACGUUGAGGCUCGAAAGCGUGGGGAGCAAACAGGAUUAGAUACCCGCGUA